RNAcentral lists this long non-coding RNA (645 nucleotides) under Ananas comosus (pineapple). Its description in RNAcentral is "long non-coding RNA (ACOM_LNC023233)". Lineage: Eukaryota; Viridiplantae; Streptophyta; Magnoliopsida; Poales; Bromeliaceae. The record is from RNAcentral.
CCCAUCCUAGGACUACUCCCGUCCUAGCACGCUUAACUCUCUUAACCUCUUGGGCCUAGCCACCACCCAAAAUACUUAAGCCGGGUUAAGAGUUUAGCCCUAUUAUAUCUCAUAUAUAGGACUAUCUGGGGUCUCACAAUCUCCUCUCCUUUAAGCCCUGACGUCCUCGUCAGGCUCAAACUCACAAGUACCAGGCGAUGUGAGACUCGUCUCGCUAGCCUAAACCGACCUUGUGGGGGAACCGCGCGCUUUACCCACAACAGUCAACAGCAUGAGAGCCUCGCUCUUCCCGCUGCACAAACCUAGCUAAGUCGAGACUCAUUUCACACUUCCGGCUGGUAAUUGGCUCUGAUACCAACUGUGACGUCUCGAUUUCCCAAGGGGUCACCCAUCCUAGGAAUACUCCCGUCUUAGCACUCUUAACUCUCUUAACCUCUUGGGCCCAGCCACCACCCAAAAUGCUUAAGCCGGGUUAAGAGUUUAGCCCUAUUAUAUCUCAUAUAUAGGACUACCUGGGGUCUCACAAAAGGAUGGUAAUUUAAGGGAAAGGGAUCGGAGAGAGGGAGAAUAGUAAAAGGAAUUGAGAUAAAAUAAUUAAAAGGAUAAAAGGGGAAAACUAUUGUGCUUGGUGGAUAAGCUAGAUGG